GCAACUCGACUACAUGAAGCUGGAAUCGCUAGUAAUCGCGAAUCAGAAUGUCGCGGUGAAUACGUUCCCGGGUCUUGUACACACCGCCCGUCACACCAUGGGAGUCAGUAACGCCCGAAGCCGGUGACCUAACCGAAAGGGAGGAGCCGUCGAAGGUGGGACCGAUAACUGGGGUGAAGUCGUAACAAGGUAUC
Molecule: ribosomal RNA, 194 nt
Filed under: uncultured bacterium
Lineage: Bacteria
Description: partial 16S ribosomal RNA
Rfam family: Bacterial small subunit ribosomal RNA
Source: RNAcentral